GACGAACGCUGGCGGCGUGCUUAACACAUGCAAGUCGAGCGGUAAGGCCCUUUCGGGGGUACACGAGCGGCGAACGGGUGAGUAACACGUGGGUGACCUGCCCUCAGCUCUGGGAUAAGCCUGGGAAACUGGGUCUAAUACUGGAUAUGACUCCACGGUGCAUGUCGGUGGGGUGGAAAGCCUUGUGCGGCUGAGGAGUCGGGCCCGCGGCCUAUCAGCUUGUUGGUGGGGUGANGGCCUACCAAGGCGACGACGGGUAGCCGGCCUGAGAGGGCGGACCGGCCACACUGGGACUGAGACACGGCCC
RNAcentral lists this ribosomal RNA (307 nucleotides) under uncultured bacterium. Its description in RNAcentral is "bacterial SSU rRNA". It matches the Rfam family "Bacterial small subunit ribosomal RNA", at positions 28 to 332 of the family's 1533-position model. The record is from RNAcentral.